Molecule: long non-coding RNA, 428 nt
Organism: Ornithodoros turicata
Lineage: Eukaryota; Metazoa; Arthropoda; Arachnida; Ixodida; Argasidae
Exons: 4
Source: RefSeq, a predicted model, not a curated record
UACAGCAACACCAGGAAUGGUUACUAACAUCAGCGCCCGAGGAAACGGACCACUACAAGGAAAGUAUGGUGGUUACAGCAAAGGCAAGGCAAGAACAUAUCAAGUCCCUGACAGUCCAGGAGGCGCUAAACAUCUAUCCAUUCCUCAAGAGUCAGACAAUAGUAGUUGCCUUAUUGGAGUUCGAAAUACAGAGAGGAAACUGGUUAUGCCAAUCCCGAGUGGGUUGACGACCGUAACAGCCUUCAUUAAUGAACAGGAAAGUGAAGAGGAUAUCACUAGUGUACAGUAUACAGAUGACACAGUUGCUGCAAUUGCGCUGCGCUGUGGAGAUAGCACGGAUACACUAUUCACUAAGUCAUCCUGGAGAAACACCGCAGCUACGAGCUCUAUGUUGACAGGCAGCUGGUCUGCGCAUGUGACGGAGCAGC